GAGUUUGAUCGUGGCUCAGGAUGAACGCUGGCGGCGUGCUUAACACAUGCAAGUCGAACGGAGAUAGCAAUAUCUCAGUGGCGCACGGGUGAGGAACACGUAGCUUAUCUGCCCAGAAGCGUGGGAUAACGCUCCGAAAGGAGUGCUAAUACCGCAUAAGCUCCCGAGCUAUAGAGGCUUGAGAGAAAAGGGGAAACUCGCUUUUGGAGGAGGCUGCGGCCCAUCAGGUAGUUGGUGCGGUAACGGCGCACCAAGCCAACGACGGGUAGGGGACCUGAGAGGGUGAUCCCCCACACUGGGACUGAGACACGGCCCAGACUCCUACGGGAGGCAGCAGUGAGGAAUAUUGCCCAAUGGAGGAAACUCUGAGGCAGCGACGCCGCGUGGGUGAUGAAGGCCUUCGGUCGUAAAGCCUUUCUGCAUGACGAGAACGGACGGUAGUGCAGGAAU
RNAcentral lists this ribosomal RNA (450 nucleotides) under uncultured Alphaproteobacteria bacterium. RNAcentral's name for it is "bacterial SSU rRNA". It matches the Rfam family "Bacterial small subunit ribosomal RNA", at positions 9 to 487 of the family's 1533-position model. The record is from RNAcentral. Lineage: Bacteria; Pseudomonadati; Pseudomonadota; Alphaproteobacteria.